Molecule: ribosomal RNA, 1984 nt
Filed under: human gut metagenome
Description: bacterial LSU rRNA
Rfam family: Bacterial large subunit ribosomal RNA
Source: RNAcentral
UUAAGUAAGGAAGGGCGUACGGCGAAUGCCUUGCCACUCGAAACUGAAGAAGGACGCGCCAAACUGCGAAAAGCUCCGUGAAGCUGUAAGGAAGCGAAGAAGCGGAGGUGUCCGAAUGGGGGAACCCGGCAGCAGACAUGAGCUGUCAUCUGCAGGUGAAUACAUGGCCUGCAAGAGAGGUACCCGGCGAACUGAAACAUCUAAGUAGCCGGAGGAAAAGAAAACAACAGUGAUUCCCUGAGUAGCGGCGAGCGAAAGGGGAGAAGCCCAAACCGGUUGAAGGACCGGGGUUGAAGGACCAUGACAUGGCAAGAACGAGGAUAGGAGAACGGGAUCGAAAGCCCGGCCGAAGAAGGUGAAAGCCCUGUAACCGAAAUCCGAGUAAAGCCUAAUGGGAUCCUGAGUACGGCGAGACACGAGAAAUCUUGUCGGAAGCAGGCGGGACCAUCCGCCAAGGCUAAAUAUAAACGAGUGAGCGAUAGUGAACCAGUACCGUGAGGGAAAGGUGAAAAGAACCGCGGGAGCGGAGUGAAAGAGAACCUGAAACCGUAUGCCUACAAGAAGUCAGAGCCCGUUAAGGGGUGAUGGCGUGCCUUUUGUAGAAUGAACCGGCGAGUUGCGACAGACUGCGAGGUUAAGGAGGAAAGACCGGAGCCGAAGCGAAAGCGAGUCUUAAGAGGGCGCAAGUCAGGAAGCGUAGACCCGAAACCACAGUGAUCUACCCAUGUCCAGGUUGAAACACAGGUAAAAAUGUGUGGAGGACCGAACCUAUAUCCGUUGAAAAGGGUUAGGAUGAGGUGUGGGUAGGGGUGAAAUUCCAAUCGAACGUGGAGAUAGCUGGUUCUCCCCGAAAUAGCUUUAGGGCUAGCCUCAGGGAAAAGAUUGCAGGCGGUAGAGCACUGAUCAGGAGAGGGACCUACCCGGUUACCAAACCCAGUCAAACUCCGAAUGGCUGCAAUCAUACCUGGGAGUCAGACUGCGACUAAUAAGGGCCGCAGUCAAAAGGGAAACAGCCCAGACCAUCAGCUAAGGUCCCCAAUGCCGUGCUAAGUGGCGAAGGAUGUGGCAUUUCAUAAACAACCAGGAUGUUGGCUCAGAAGCAGCCACCAUUUAAAGAGUGCGUAAUAGCUCACUGGUCGAGAGACGCUGCGCCGAAAAUGUCCGGGGCUCAAGCACGGAACCGAAGCUAUGGCAUGAUAGCAAUAUCAUGGGUAGGGGAGCGUUCUUAUAAGGAAGAAGCAUGACCGGAAGGACAUGUGGACAAAUAAGAAGUGAGAAUGCCGGUAUGAGUAUCGAAAAGAAAGGUGAGAAUCCUUUCCACCGAAAGCCCGAGGGUUCCUGAGCAACGAUCGUCGACUCAGGGUAAGUCGGGACCUAAGCCGAGGCGAGAAGCGUAGGCGAUGGACAACAGGUUGAAAUUCCUGUACCGGAUCAAGUCGAUCGAGCGAAGGAGCGACGCAGGAGGGCACAUGAUCGCGCGGCUGGAAGAGCGCGUCCAAGUGCGUAUGUUGCCGCAGAGGAAAACCCCUGCAGCUAAAAGCAGAGACAUGAUGGGGAGUUAAAGGAAACUUUGACGAACUCAUGGAUCCCACACUGCCAAGAAAAACUUCUAGCGAGACAAGAUCCGCCCGUACCGUAAACCGACACAGGUAGGCGGGGAGAGAAUCCUAAGGUGCGCGGGAAAACCCUCGUUAAGGAACUCGGCAAAUUGCAUCCGUAACCUAGGGAGAAGGAUGGCCCCCGGUCAGUGAAGAGCAGAAACGCUCAGAGCUAAAAGGGGCGGCAGAAAAGAGGCCCAAGCAACUGUUUACCAAAAACACAGGUGCCUGCGAAAGCGAAAGCUGAAGUAUAGGUGCUGACGCCUGCCCGGUGCCGGAAGGUUAAGGAGAGAAGUUAGCGAACGCGAAGCAUCGAACUGAAGCCCCGGUGAACGGCGGCCGUAACUAUAACGGUCCUAAGGUAGCGAAAUUCCUUGUCGGGUAAG